GUAGCCUACGGGACGCAGCAGUGAGGAAUAUUGGUCAAUGGGCGGAAGCCUGAACCAGCCAAGUCGCGUGAGGGAAUAAGGCCCUACGGGUCGUAAACCUCUUUUGCCGGGGAGCAAGGGCCGGGACGCGUCCCGGCCCGGAGAGUACCCGGAGAAAAAGCAUCGGCUAACUCCGUGCCCGCAGCCGCGGGAAUACGGAGGAUGCGCGCGUUAUCCGGAUUUAUUGGGUUUAAAGGGUGCGUAGGCGGGCUUUUAAGUCAGCGGUAAUAAUUCGGGGCUCAACCCCGUCCGGCCGUUG
Molecule: ribosomal RNA, 298 nt
Filed under: uncultured bacterium
Lineage: Bacteria
Description: partial 16S ribosomal RNA
Rfam family: Bacterial small subunit ribosomal RNA
Source: RNAcentral